Long non-coding RNA from Homo sapiens (human), 782 nucleotides. Ensembl annotates it as SPRY4 antisense RNA 1. Its record names the gene SPRY4-AS1. The record is from Ensembl. Lineage: Eukaryota; Metazoa; Chordata; Mammalia; Primates; Hominidae.
AGCUCCACCAGGAGCCGUCGUUCUUUUACAAAGAGGGGUGGAGGUUCCAGUGGAGGCUGUUGUUGCCUUUUUUUUUUUUUUUUUAAUGAAUGGAGGGCGGCGGCGACUGCUGCAGCUGGGCCAGCUGCGCGGGCUGCACCCCCUCCCAGCCUGCGAGAGGAGGAAGCUAGUAGAAGAUUUGUACCAACAAAACCAAGGAGUAAACAACUUGAGAAUAACUGCAUGAGCUCAGGGCUUGGACUGUCAGAUUCCAUUUCUAAGCUUCCAGAAGAGCGACACAUAGACACUGGGGAAGUCAGAGCCUUUGAACUCCAAUGCCAUCCCCGUCACCCACCUCCACCACCAGCACCACCACCGAAUGGCACUUUGGACAAUUUUUCCCUCUCAUGUGACUUUUGUCAUUUCUUACGUCAGUUGGAGCCAGCACCUCUCAAAUCCAUCUUCUAAAACCCAGAAAAUUGUGUGUAACACAUGAUGACUGAAAGGGAGUAGGCUGACCAGUUAAGAGCCUGCCACUGGAAUGGAAGGCUGUGGGAAGGUGAGGGGACGGUGGACAUCAACCGGGAAGAGCUGAAAGAUGGCGUUACCAGGUAUCUACCCUGCUACCCUGCAUAGAAUUCCCAAGACCCAGGGUGGGUUUUUAUGCUUCCCCGUUUAAUAUUUAUUUUUAUUAUUUGUCAGUAGAAGUGUCUUUAUCUUAAAAAAUUAAUACAUUAUUGUUGUCACCAAUUUAAAUAAUAUGGAGAUGAAUAGAAAGUAAAAGUAUAGAUUUACACUACACA